UGGAGGCUUUUAUGCUUGUGCUCUUACUC
Molecule: non-coding RNA, 29 nt
Filed under: Rattus norvegicus (Norway rat)
Lineage: Eukaryota; Metazoa; Chordata; Mammalia; Rodentia; Muridae
Source: RNAcentral